ACCCAUGGCAUGUGUCCUUCUCAUAUGCAAGGGCUCUCCAGAACACUUGCCUUAAGACCUGGGCUGGCAGACCUGAGAAUGUGAAGGCUGCUCAGGAGGUACUUCCAACUCUCUUGCUCAGCUUGGCAAGUACACAGGUGAGGGAGAAUCAGAAGAAGCCAAGAAAGGAAUGUUUGUCAAGGGCUACGUGUACUAAGCUAUAGAAUGAAGGUGGAGGAGAAGAGAAAUCAAAUCCAAGAUUAAAUUUCUCAUGAUUGUGUGUUAAAUGCUUUAUAGCCUGGAUACUAUUUUUGUUCUUUUUUACA
Molecule: unclassified non-coding RNA, 305 nt
Filed under: Hevea brasiliensis (rubber tree)
Lineage: Eukaryota; Viridiplantae; Streptophyta; Magnoliopsida; Malpighiales; Euphorbiaceae
Source: RNAcentral